CGGAAAGUGCCUUCUGAACUGGUGCGGACAGGACCUUAGACAAGCCCAAUCCUCCCAGCUCAAAGGCACUUUUCUCAUGUAAACGAUCAAG
Non-coding RNA from Microbispora rosea, 91 nucleotides. The record is from Rfam. NCBI's taxonomy places the organism in Bacteria, Bacillati, Actinomycetota, Actinomycetes, Streptosporangiales, Streptosporangiaceae.